Molecule: ribosomal RNA, 360 nt
Filed under: Triticum aestivum (bread wheat)
Lineage: Eukaryota; Viridiplantae; Streptophyta; Magnoliopsida; Poales; Poaceae
Description: partial small subunit ribosomal RNA
Source: RNAcentral
AUGAGGAGGAUACGAUUGUUGUGGGUGGCCCACCAAGGCAUGGCAGGGACGUUUUUCCUUUGGCCCAACGUGAGUGAAGACAUCUUCAAACAAGGCCUGCUAGUGACAGCCCAUCACGAUCCUCAGCCCAAGACCAAAGAUUUUUUUUCUUCCAUCCGCGCUCCAGCUCCUUUCCAUCCCUUUCUCCUCUCUCUUGAUCUAUCAAAAAAAAUGUUUCUCUUCUCUUCACGUGGCACCUGUGAGCCCACGAGUAUAUUUACUGUCCGGUCAGCGUAUCGCAUUCUGUCAAGUACUCAACAGAAACAGGAAGGAGUCCUAGAGCCACCGCAAGGGAUGUUUGAUCCCCUCGCCUCCAAAUGA